This 271-nucleotide ribosomal RNA is filed under the name uncultured prokaryote. RNAcentral describes it as "partial 16S ribosomal RNA". It matches the Rfam family "Bacterial small subunit ribosomal RNA", at positions 524 to 794 of the family's 1533-position model. The record is from RNAcentral.
UACGGAGGUUCCAAGCAUUGUUCGGAAUUACUGGGCGUAAAGGGAGCGCAGGCGGACAGGUCAGUCUAAAGUGGAAAUCCGGGGCUUAACCUCGGACUUGCUUCGGAUACUGCCUGUCUUGAGUACGUGAUAGGAAGAUGGAAUUCAGGGUGUAGCGGUGAAAUGCACAGAUAUCCUGAGGAACACCAGUGGCGAAAGCGGUCUUCUGGCACGAAACUGACGCUGAGGCUCGAAAGCGCGGGUAGCAAACGGGAUUAGAUACCCCGGUAGU